GAUGAACGCUGGCGGCGUGCCUAAUACAUGCAAGUCGAGCGAAUGGAUUAAGAGCUUGCUCUUAUGAAGUUAGCGGCGGACGGGUGAGUAACACGUGGGUAACCUGCCCAUAAGACUGGGAUAACUCCGGGAAACCGGGGCUAAUACCGGAUAACAUUUUGAACCGCAUGGUUCGAAAUUGAAAGGCGGCUUCGGCUGUCACUUAUGGAUGGACCCGCGUCGCAUUAGCUAGUUGGUGAGGUAACGGCUCACCAAGGCAACGAUGCGUAGCCGACCUGAGAGGGUGAUCGGCCACACUGGGACUGAGACACGGCCCAGACUCCUACGUGAGGCAGCAGUAGGGAAUCUUCCGCAAUGGACGAAAGUCUGACGGAGCAACGCCGCGUGAGUGAUGAAGGCUUUCGGGUCGUAAAAUUCUGUUGUUAGGGAAGAACAAGAGCUAGUUGAAUAAGCUGGCACCUUGACGGUACCUAACCAGAAAGCCACGGCUAACUACGUUCCAGCCGCCGCCGUAA
Molecule: ribosomal RNA, 515 nt
Filed under: uncultured bacterium
Lineage: Bacteria
Description: partial 16S ribosomal RNA
Rfam family: Bacterial small subunit ribosomal RNA
Source: RNAcentral